GCGCAAGCCUGAACCAGCCAUCCCGCGUGCAGGAUGAAUGCCCUAUGGGUUGUAAACUGCUUUUAUAAGGGAAGAAACACCUAGAUUUAUCUGGGCUUGACGGUACCUUAUGAAUAAGCACCGGCUAACUCCGUGCCAGCAGCCGCGGUAAUACGGAGGGUGCGAGCGUUAUCCGGAAUCACUGGGUUUAAAGGGUGCGUAGGCGGCAUUGUAAGUUAGAGGUGAAAGUUUGCAGCUUAACUGUAAAAUUGCCUUUAAAACUGCAUUGCUUGAAUUAGGUUGAGGUCAGCGGAAUGUGGCAUGUAGCGGUGAAAUGCUUAGAUAUGCCAUAGAACACCAAUUGCGAAGGCAGCUGACUGGGCCUAUAUUGACGCUGAGGCACGAAAGCGUGGGUAGCGAACAGGAUUAGAUACCCUGGUAGUCCACGCCCUAAACGAUGCUAACUCGACAUGUGCUUUUAGAGUGCGUGUCCAAGGGAAACCAAUAAGYUAGCCACCUGGGGAKUACGUUGGCAACAAUGAAACUCAUAGGAAUUGACGGUU
Molecule: ribosomal RNA, 542 nt
Filed under: uncultured Bacteroidota bacterium
Lineage: Bacteria; Pseudomonadati; Bacteroidota
Description: bacterial SSU rRNA
Rfam family: Bacterial small subunit ribosomal RNA
Source: RNAcentral